AUCUUUGUAGUUGAACCACAACAACAGCUUUUCACGCUAUAAGUUUGGGUUAAACCCCCAAUAAGGAUC
This 69-nucleotide transfer RNA is filed under the name Mediaster tenellus. RNAcentral's name for it is "tRNA-Glu". It matches the Rfam family "tRNA". Rfam says of the family: Transfer RNA (tRNA) molecules are approximately 80 nucleotides in length. Their secondary structure includes four short double-helical elements and three loops (D, anti-codon, and T loops). Further hydrogen bonds mediate the characteristic L-shaped molecular structure. tRNAs have two regions of fundamental functional importance: the anti-codon, which is responsible for specific mRNA codon recognition, and the 3' end, to which the tRNAs corresponding amino acid is attached (by aminoacyl-tRNA synthetases). tRNAs cope with the degeneracy of the genetic code in two manners: having more than one tRNA (with a specific anti-codon) for a particular amino acid; and 'wobble' base-pairing, i.e. permitting non-standard base-pairing at the 3rd anti-codon position. Lineage: Eukaryota; Metazoa; Echinodermata; Asteroidea; Valvatida; Goniasteridae. The record is from RNAcentral.